This 292-nucleotide ribosomal RNA is filed under the name uncultured bacterium. RNAcentral's name for it is "partial 16S ribosomal RNA". It matches the Rfam family "Bacterial small subunit ribosomal RNA", at positions 505 to 796 of the family's 1533-position model. The record is from RNAcentral.
GUGUCAGCAGCCGCGGUAAUACGGAGGGUGCAAACGUUGCUCGGAAUCAUUGGGCGUAAAGCGCACGUAGGCGGCUUGUUAAGUCGGAUGUGAAAGCCCCAGGCUCAACCUGGGAAGUGCAUUCGAAACUGGCGAGCUUGAAUAUGGAAGAGGGUCGCGGAAUUCCCGGUGUAGAGGUGAAAUUCGUAGAUAUCGGGAGGAACACCAGUGGCGAAGGCGGCGACCUGGGCCAAUAUUGACGCUGAGGUGCGAAAGCGUGGGGAGCAAACAGGAUUAGAAACCCCUGUAGUCC